UAGGGAAUCUUCCACAAUGGACGCAAGUCUGAUGGAGCAACGCCGCGUGAGUGAAGAAGGUUUUCGGAUCGUAAAGCUCUGUUGUUGGUGAAGAAGGAUAGAGGUAGAAACUGGCCUUUAUUUGACGGUAAUCAACCAGAAAGUCACGGCUAACUACGUGCCAGCAGCCGCGGUAAUACGUAGGUGGCAAGCGUUGUCCGGAUUUAUUGGGCGUAAAGCGAGCGCAGGCGGAAGAAUAAGUCUGAUGUGAAAGCCCUCGGCUUAACCGAGGAACUGCAUCGGAAACUGUUUUUCUUGAGUGCAGAAGAGGAGAGUGGAAUUCCAUGUGUAGCGGUGGAAUGCGUAGAUAUAUGGAAGAACACCAGUGGCGAAGGCGACUCUCUGGUCUGCAACUGACGCUGAGGCUCGAAAGCAUGGGUAGCGAACAGG
RNAcentral lists this ribosomal RNA (429 nucleotides) under bacterium. Its description in RNAcentral is "partial 16S ribosomal RNA". It matches the Rfam family "Bacterial small subunit ribosomal RNA", at positions 355 to 776 of the family's 1533-position model. The record is from RNAcentral.